RNAcentral lists this transfer RNA (50 nucleotides) under Calochromus glaucopterus. RNAcentral describes it as "partial tRNA-Ser". Lineage: Eukaryota; Metazoa; Arthropoda; Insecta; Coleoptera; Lycidae. The record is from RNAcentral.
AAAGAAAUACUACAAAGAAGCUUCUAACUUCUUAAAGAGCCCGGGUUCAU